Molecule: ribosomal RNA, 376 nt
Filed under: Klebsiella pneumoniae
Lineage: Bacteria; Pseudomonadati; Pseudomonadota; Gammaproteobacteria; Enterobacterales; Enterobacteriaceae
Description: partial 23S ribosomal RNA
Rfam family: Bacterial large subunit ribosomal RNA
Source: RNAcentral
AGGCCGAAAGGCGUAGUCGAUGGGAAACAGGUUAAUAUUCCUGUACUUGGUGUUACUGCGAAGGGGGGACGGAGAAGGCUAUGUUAGCCGGGCGACGGUUGUCCCGGUUUAAGCAUGUAGGCUGAUUAUCCAGGCAAAUCCGGAUAAUCAAGGCUGAGGUGUGAUGACGAGGCACUACGGUGCUGAAGUAACAAAUGCCCUGCUUCCAGGAAAAGCCUCUAAGCAUCAGGUAACAUCAAAUCGUACCCAAAACCGACACAGGUGGUCAGGUAGAGAAUACCAAGGCGCUUGAGAGAACUCGGGUGAAGGAACUAGGCAAAAUGGUGCCGUAACUUCGGGAGAAGGCACGCUGGUGUGUAGGUGAAGUCCCUGCGGA